This 26-nucleotide ribosomal RNA is filed under the name Blumea saxatilis. RNAcentral also lists the same sequence under 1 other name. Lineage: Eukaryota; Viridiplantae; Streptophyta; Magnoliopsida; Asterales; Asteraceae. The record is from RNAcentral.
UUGGGAAGUCCUCGUGUUGCACCCCG